This 583-nucleotide ribosomal RNA is filed under the name Priestia megaterium. RNAcentral describes it as "bacterial SSU rRNA". It matches the Rfam family "Bacterial small subunit ribosomal RNA", at positions 46 to 610 of the family's 1533-position model. Lineage: Bacteria; Bacillati; Bacillota; Bacilli; Caryophanales; Bacillaceae. The record is from RNAcentral.
GCCUAAUACAUGCAAGUCGAGCGAACUGAUUAGAAGCUUGCUUCUAUGACGUUAGCGGCGGACGGGUGAGUAACACGUGGGCAACCUGCCUGUAAGACUGGGAUAACUUCGGGAAACCGAAGCUAAUACCGGAUAGGAUCUUCUCCUUCAUGGGAGAUGAUUGAAAGAUGGUUUCGGCUAUCACUUACAGAUGGGCCCGCGGUGCAUUAGCUAGUUGGUGAGGUAACGGCUCACCAAGGCAACGAUGCAUAGCCGACCUGAGAGGGUGAUCGGCCACACUGGGACUGAGACACGGCCCAGACUCCUACGGGAGGCAGCAGUAGGGAAUCUUCCGCAAUGGACGAAAGUCUGACGGAGCAACGCCGCGUGAGUGAUGAAGGCUUUCGGGUCGUAAAACUCUGUUGUUAGGGAAGAACAAGUACGAGAGUAACUGCUCGUGCCUUGACGGUACCUAACCAGAAAGCCACGGCUAACUACGUGCCAGCAGCCGCGGUAAUACGUAGGUGGCAAGCGUUAUCCGGAAUUAUUGGGCGUAAAGCGCGCGCAGGCGGUUUCUUAAGUCUGAUGUGAAAGCCCACGGCUC